CUACCAACCUUCAUCGAGUAGAAUAAUCCUGGUUUUGGGCAUCAGGGUAUUGGGACACCAUGGAAGGAGACCCAUUCACUUCUCUUACUGUUCCCACCUCCCUCUUACAAAUCCAACCACCUAUUCCACUUCUAGUGAGUUUUUGUAUUUUUGAACUAUUUUUUCCUUUCAUACCAUUUGAUUAGCACUUAAACAUUUUUCCUUGCUGGCAAGUUCAUUGCCUCUGUACAAGAUCUCCAAGGAGUAGUGGGACAUUAUUUCCGUCAUAUAUCAGCUUGCGAACAAAAAUGGCAAAUACCUCGAGCUCAUAGAGAAAAACAUCCACUUCAUCAAGCACGAACUUAUGGCCUUUCAAGGUAAAUUAUAAUUGUUUACCUCGAGUAUGCUGAGCUCAAAUCUAUAUGUACUAAUACGUGUUGUUUUGCAGAAUACUUUUUGAAGAAGAAGCCAUUAAAGCUCGAAAACCACUUUUGCUGCUUGCAAGAAACAAAAUGAUCAAUUACAAAAGGAAAAUAAAGGUUGCCUAUCAAUGAUGUGGAAAAAGAAAAAGAACAUGACGAGACAGUCAAGCCUUUGGACUAGAAAAAGAGAACCGAGGCCUUUGGUGCCUCUUCAUCCGGUCCUACCAUUGCUAUCAGGGCAAUUUGCUCACCUCCAUAUCAGAUACCCAUCUAAGUGAAAAUGUCUGCAAAUUCUCCUCAUCCUCCUCUCAUUGCCCAGCAUUCUAGAAGCACUAUUUAGCUAAGCUUGCAUCCUAUGAAAAUGAAUGAGACGAAGGAGCAUGAAUUUCAAGGCAAAAAAGUCUGUGAAUCCACCUUGAAACGAGAAAGUAAAUUAUUUUUUCAGGGUUAAUAGUAAGGAGCUCGCAAAAGAUGCAACUACAAUACUUCUUUUGAAGAUACUAGGCUAUAGCGAGAGGUGGCAAAAUCAAGUUGCCUAUUACUAGGCUAAAAUCUCCUGUAGAUAAAUAAUGCUUGGGUGGCUCAUGGUCUAGGGAUUGGCCUCAUUACUCAAGAUUUGUUGCAUGAUUUUCAAAAUCGAAAUAAGCAUUGACGGAUCGAUUAGAGGCCUCCUCUAAGCUGGAGGAAAAGUUGAUGAAAGUGAAGGCAUAAGGUAAAAAUGUUGAGCUUGCUUAUGAAAACGUAGGUUAAGAUGAGUUGGAUUUUGUUGAGUUCAAGGUUAGUCGCUUUGAAAUAGAACUAGAUUAAGCUGAUCUCAAGUGUCUACCUUAGUCAAGAUGGUCAACUAAUCCAAUAAACACAAACGCCUCAUAGAUAAAACCCUGUAAGCCUUGAAAAAAGAAAAGAGAUAGAGAUGAGGCAGAUUGAGAGGCUCAAAAUGAAGAAAUUAAAUCUUUGAAGGCUAACAUGGCUAUGGUAGGUGAAGUAGCAAUCAAGAACUAGGUUGAUAACUUUGAAAAGACUAAGAAUUAUGGCAACUUUGCCAACUAUUGAGCCUUCAAAAAUCUUUGAAAGCUGAUGUGGCUCGGAUGAGGGAGGCUCAUUUGGAAUCGAAUAUCAACUUUUAGGAGGAUAAGUUUAGUAGGGGCCAACUGAAGAUCACCCAAACAUCAAGGCCAAUGCCAAUGAAGCUCAUGAUGAGACGAGGCGAUUAAGCUGAAGCAAUGAUUGUUGUAGAUGUAGUGGUACAUCCUUAGGCUACCUUUCUUUUUUCAUUUCACUAAACUUUUUGUAAAGGCUUGGGACUCCUCAUUUGUAAUCUAUUUUCCCAUCAAUGAAAAUUUUAUUUUCAAAGGGUUAUUGCUUCUUGCUUUUCCUUGUAUGCAUGCUACUUUUCUUUCAUGUUGUUACCUCAUUGUAUAUCGAAUAGCACCUCAUCAUCAUUAAUUCAAACUUACAUGCUUAACUAUUUUGCACCACUCUGUUGAAGCGAAAAAUGGUUCCUUGCAUGGUGGAUGGUUCAUCCAUGUCAAAGGAUAAUGAGGUCUAUUUCGUAGGAUUUGAGGUUGGCUCUCUUUGGGAUGAUUCAUACCUCUCCUGUAAAAGCAACACAGACUUCCUUGCAUGAUGGAUGAUUCAUCCAUGUUAAGAGAUAAUGAGGUCUACUUCGUAGGGUUCAAGGUAGGUUUUAUUUGGGAUGCUUUAUACCUCAUUUGUCAAAGUGAAAAGUACUUCCUUACUUGGUGAAUGGUUCAUCCAUGUUAAUGGAUGAUGAGGUCUACUUUGUAGGUUUCUAGUAAAAUCCCUCUGGGAUGCUGAGUACCUCUCUUGAAGCAGUAAAAACUUCUUUGAAUGGUGGAUGGUUCAUCCAUGUUAAAGGAUAAUGAGUUGUGCUUCAUGGGGUUCGAGGUGGGCUUCCUUUAGGAUGCUUCACACCUCUUCUAUCAAAGUGACAAAGAUUUACUUGGAUAGUAGAUCAUUCAUCCAUGUUAAAGGAUAAUGAUCUUUAUAAGUCUAAGGCUCAUCACCUCGUACGAAAGAAUAUGGUUGAAGAUAUUGAUGAGAAAAUUUUAUAUAAAUUGGGAGAGAUCAUCUAGUCGGAAGGGUAAUGUGCUAUGUUCACUGAUAGUACUUAAGAAAAUGCUCUAUAUUCCAAGGGAGAGGUUGUAUCUUUCCAUCCAUAUCUUCAAUUUUGUAUGUUCCAAGAUAUAGCUCUUCUUUGAUGGGAUAGAGACCCUUUCAAUUGUGGCCCAAUAUUUUUAUGCUUAGUUCUUUUGAGAAGAGGAAUAUCUUUCUCAAAACUAAGUCUUCUAUACAAAGUGGCAUCUUCUUCACUUUAGCAUUGUAGUAGUGGGGUCAUUUUUGUUGGUUUGAGAUGAGCUUUUCUUGUGAAUCAUGUCUCAUUUCUUCAAGAAAAUCGAAGCGUUCCUCAUCAACUCAUCGUUGGUAAUCUCGUUCAAGUGCUGGAUAUAAGGUAAAGAUAAUCCCACCUCAACUACAAUCAUGGCUUCAAUUCCAUAGACCAUAGAGAAACAGGUUUCUUCGAUAAAGUUCUACUUGUCAUACAGAUAGCCUACAACAUUUAAGAGAGCUUGUGAACCUAUACUACUUUAGAACUGCCAAGUUUUCUAUCCAAAGUAUACUUGAUGUUUUCUGACAACUUCAUCCUAGGCAUUUGCUUGAGGAAGGUAAGGUGUGGAGAAGUACUUCUUGAUUCUCAACUGUUAAUAGAACAAAGGUUUGGCAUCUACCCAUUUAGUAGAGUAAUCUAUGAUGACAAUAGUGUAGGACACACUACUUUUUCUUUUGGCUAAACACAAUUAGGAGCUCAGUGAAGGACUGCCUCUGCAUUGGCAUUUAUCGCACUUGCACACAAGUUGAAAGGCAUCAUUUUGUCAAGUAUAACAGUAAUAUUCCUACUUAAGUACCUUUUAUGUAAGUGCAAGUCCUACAAUAUGAUUAUUACAUACACUUUUAUAAACUUUCCUGAUAAUGUACGUUGCCUCGUCUUCUCUUGUGCAUCGAAUGAAAGAUGAUGAGAAGCCUAUCUUGUAUAGGACUUCGUCUUGGAGAAUAAAAUGUAGUGUUAUCCUUCUAAGUGUGUAUGUUUCAUCCUUAUUAUCAGGGAAUCUAAUCUUUUAGGAAGACUAUGAGGGUACUUCAACCCACCUCACCACCUCUUCCAUGGAUAUGGGUGGCCUGGAGAGUUGUUCAAUUUGCACCAUCUUGAACAGCUAGAAAUCUUUGCUUUUGGCCAUCUUGAAAUCUUUACUGUUGAUCAGCUUGGUAAUGCAUCAAAAUGGACAUUUUACCUCUCCAGAUGAACUACAUGAGGAGGCUCCAAAUUGGUAGCUUAAUGGUUCCAUCUUCGCCUCUAUCUCAGGGGCAUUAAAAUACUUCGCAACAAAGUCUACAAGGCUUUAACUCUUAUGGAGGUUAUUGAAUUGAAGAUAAUGUCAAAGUCACUCAGUCAUAAAAAAUAUUUCAUCAACCUAACAAAAACGUCUAGCUUUUGAAGCACAUGAUUGAGUACGAGCUUCUUCAUUUCAGGGUACUGAGCCUUCGCUUAUAGGAAGGCUUUGCUCACUCACACAGUAUAUGGCAGUUGGUGGUUGCUUUCUUGUCUUACAUGAACUAAGUUGAUUGUCUUUUUAGAUGAGCCAAAUUAUAGUUGUAGGGGCUCAUGAACAUUUUGGAUAGGAAAGAGAGAGGCCCUAGCCUACGUACUUUCCAAUUCUUGGAAAGCUUAUCCAUACUCUUCUAUCCAUUGAAAUUUCUCCUUUCCUUUAAGUACUUUAAAGAAGAGAAGGCAUUUGCCUGUGGAUUUUGAGACAAAGCGACUCAGGGUCUGCCACCUAUCUACUGAGGCUCUGUACCCUUUUUGGAGCAAGCUUGAUUAUGAUUGCAAAAGUUUGUGUAAACUCUCCACUUGCCAUUAUGCUUUUUCGUGAAAUCUGUAUUGGAGAUCCACCUCGGAUAUUAGAUUUUCCUAUUGAAGCCAUUGGUUAUAAGCUUCUCAACCUCUUCAUUUAGCUUUGUUUAUCUUAAAGUUGUAACAGCUCACCUUUUCGUCUAUUCCCACGAUAUCUUUAUGGUUUUGAGAAGAGAUAUCUAAGUUUUACAUAGUAAACUUUUGAGCUUCUCAUUUACAUUUCUUCGCAGUUUCUUCUCGACUUGUAGUGACUUCGUAGGAUCUUGAGAAUCCACGAAGAACUCUCCAGCUCUUUCAUUAGGCUGCUUGUGAAUCAGACUUAGUGAUUGAGGGUCUAAUUCAUUAUAUAUGACCUCUUCUACAAGGGCUUAUAUCAUCUCAGUGUUUUCCCAUUUUUAGUAAUCUGUCCUUUUCAAAGAACAUUGAUCAUUUUGGUAUCGAUCAUCAUCGUGUUAAUCUCACAGGGGGUACUUUCCUUAUAGAAUUCAAUUAGCAUUCCUUAGCCUCCCUUUGAUUGCCUCUGACACUGGUAAUACCGUUCUUCAUAGAGAACUUCAUACAUAAGUGAUAUAUGGAGGUAAUUGCCCAUUGUUCCUUCAAGGAAGUCUUCCCAAGCCCCCAUAGUAGGUUGAUCUGCUAUGAACCACAAGUAGUGUUUUAAAAGACUAAAGCGUUACUAACCGUGGAUGCCAAACUUUAAGCUUUACGAGCAUAGGUGAGCCUCG
Molecule: long non-coding RNA, 5057 nt
Filed under: Olea europaea subsp. europaea
Lineage: Eukaryota; Viridiplantae; Streptophyta; Magnoliopsida; Lamiales; Oleaceae
Source: RNAcentral